Non-coding RNA from Spirodela intermedia, 137 nucleotides. Lineage: Eukaryota; Viridiplantae; Streptophyta; Magnoliopsida; Alismatales; Araceae. The record is from the annotation of a GenBank genome assembly.
CCCCCCUUAGUGGGAGAGUUGCCACCGGAUCCCAUAAGAACUCCAGAGUUAAGCGUGCUCGAGUGGGAGUAGUCCCUCGGAUGGGUGACCUCCCUGGGUACGUGUGCAUGCGUUGCAAGACGCUUGCUGUGCAUGUG